Non-coding RNA from Misgurnus anguillicaudatus (oriental weatherfish), 2208 nucleotides. The record is from RefSeq and is a predicted model, not a curated record. NCBI's taxonomy places the organism in Eukaryota, Metazoa, Chordata, Actinopteri, Cypriniformes, Cobitidae.
AAUGAUGGUCUUCAGAAGGCCUCUCAUGGUGGUCUUGAUUCAGAGGUUUGAGAAGACUACCAAGCACCAGAGCCAGCUAACAGGUGGACCAAACAUCAAGCCAGAAUUCUGCAUGAGUCAGAAUUUAUGUCUUUUGAUAUUAUUGCCUAAUGCAACAAAUGGAAAAAAGCAUACUUUAUGACAACCUUAGCAGCAGAACACCAUGACUUUCUCCUGGGUAGACGAGAAAAAAAGUUUGGUAUCAACACCCAUCUAACAAUUAAGGUAAAAGAUAAAGUUUUAUGAUCCCUGCAUUCAGGUUAGAGUAUGGGGUAAGUUGACCGUUCUAUGGGUGUUUCUCAAAUGCAAGGUUGCAUCCUAUGGAGGCUGCGUCCAUCUUAGACCUGUCCUUCUGAGAUUUCGAGGUUAGAAUCCACCUCAAAAGCCAGAAUGAGAUGGUUUAGUUUGAUGUCCAAGGCAAUGUCAUAAUGGUUUCCGCCCCAGUGGUCAUGGCAUGAAAACUUUAAAGAGAGAAGUUGAAAAUUAGCAAUGCAUCACCAAAAAAAAAUCCAAUACUGUAGUACAGUGAAUAAAAGUCAUGUAUCAACGGUCUUUACAACAUGGACAGUUAAACCUUUUGUAAUUGAAUUAAAACAACAAAAGAGAAAACAAGCAGAUUGAGAUGUCCUUCAACAAUGCUUGAUGACGUGGCAGCCGAGACAUGCAGCAUUCUAGGACGCAGCCUUAUUAAAAAAAAAAAAAUGGACGCAGCCUUAUUUAUUUUUAUUUUAUAUAUGUAUAAUGUACCCCCUGACUGAACUUGUAUUUCUUAUUAUUUAAAAAAAAUAUAUUAAAAAUAUUUUUAAAAGAACGCAGCUGUGCGUUUGAGAAACGACCGGAAACGACUUAUAUGUCGCGAGGCCAUCACGUGACCACAAUAUUUACCAGAAGACCGUUAUUUGCUCGAGUUCCCUCAACUUUUUUGUCGCAAAUAACAUUAUUAAUAACCUGUAAAUAAUAAAAUUUGUACACAUUACGUUCCUUUUCACGUUGUAAUAGUAUGUUUUUGGUUUAAUAGUCGGCUUUAAGUUAGUUUUUCUGUCAGUUUGAUCGUCAAAAUCUUGAUGGGUGCUCAUGGUGGCCUCCAAAUAAAUACAUGGACAGGCUGCUAAAGAGGGUCAGGAUGAUGGAGAUGCAAGAGCCAAAGACAGCACGGACCAAACACCAGGCCAGAAUUCUGCAUGAGUCAGUUUCCAGCCUUUUUCACAAAGUUGCCGACAACUGGAAGAAUGUCCCAAAUUGCUGAAAAAAGAAAUUCAAUUGAGUAAUUUUCACUCUAGAGACCCUGGGGUGACCAACAAGGACGAAUGAAAACUCCAGUGAGUGUCUCUAAGGUAGAUCCUAAUGCAGAUGGAUGGAAUGUUGAUCCGCCUAACAUGCAAGAUUUUCUGCACCGAGAACUUUGGAUGACCAUCAAGACAAGCACUCGUUUUGAGUCCUGAGACCCUGGGGUGACCACCGUGAACAAAUACAGACUGCAAAAAGGCAGUCUUGAUGGUUCUAGGAUGAAUGCAAAUAAAGACUGACCACCUGACUUCAGCGGUCCAGUCUCUUGUGGGAAGCAGGUGUUUGUUACCUUAAAUACGGAUGAAGAGUGACGAAGAGGAUGAUGACUUUUUCUCAAACAUCAUCUGAAGGAUCUUGACAGGCUGGAGACAAAAUUAACAGACUGAGGGUUUAUACAAAGAAUCUUACUCAGCCAAUAUUAAAGAUAAGAUAUUUUUACAAAAUGUUCUUUUCAUUGUUUAGGAUUUUAUGUAGAAAACAAUACAUCACAAAAAAGACUUUAGCUGGGUUUUCACAGGCAGUGCCUUACACACACACUAACCACAAUUAUAAACGCAACACUAACACAGAUUUAGACAGAUUUGUGAAUAAUAUUUGAGAGAAAUAGGCCUUUUGGGGACAUAGAAAAUAUUUAAGUUCAGCUCAUGAAAUUAAAAAUGGGGGCAAAAAAUGUUUUAACAAGUGCAAUACAAAUAUCAACCAUAAUACUGAUCGUUUAAAAAAAAGUAAGCCACUAUAUCUUUCUAGAAUCUUACACAAGACUCAGUUACAUAAACGAUCAAAAUAAAUUAACGUCAGACAGGUGGGCGAAAUAUCAAUAUUAAAGCAUGAAUAACUGUUAUCAACCCAAUUUCAAGGUAUUAUUUAAAUGAUCCCACACCA